Long non-coding RNA from Amphimedon queenslandica, 677 nucleotides. RefSeq lists it as uncharacterized. Lineage: Eukaryota; Metazoa; Porifera; Demospongiae; Haplosclerida; Niphatidae. The transcript is spliced from 4 exons. The record is from RefSeq and is a predicted model, not a curated record.
UGAUUGUGCUUGCCAAAGAAAGUUUGAUGCUGAAGGCAAAGAAGUUGAACCUAACUUUGGACAAACGGCAAAAGUAAAAACCGGCUACCUCAACUCAUCAUACAAAACUGUUGCCAAGGGAACGCCAGACACAUUGAGUUAUGCCGAAGUGUGUGAAAGAGUUCAUUCUGAUCUGGUCGGGUUUGAGACAGGCAGUCAUUCUCAGUUGAUUUGUUUCUGGGGAGAGAAUGAGAGCUACGAUCAUGUGGAGUGUAGCCCAGGACAAAGAAUUAGACUAAAGACUAGAGGAGACUCUCUACUGAUAGAAUCAUUCACAAAGCUGGAUAGUGAUCAGCGAGCUCACUCAUCAAACUACACUGGAGGAGAGAAGACAGGACAGAGCUGGACUGAUAAGGUACUCGGACACAAAUCAACUGAUGAACCCAGCCAGGGAACAGGAGGAGGAGGAGAGGUUGAUGAUGAUGAAUGGGAUGACUGAGUAUACACAAGAAACCAAAAUAACUUUUUAUUUUUCAAUUUUAGUUCAAGUCAUUACUUUUAGCAUCAGUGAAUGAUAAUUAAAAUGUAUUAUUGUUUGUUAGAAAAAUAAUGCUGUAUACACAGUAUACUGAUGUACAGUGUAUUACAAUAAGUUUGUGUGUGAGUGUAUUAUUGGUUCUUUAUGAUUUAGCAUCCCA